AACGAACGCUGGCGGCAGGCCUAACACAUGCAAGUCGAGCGGACCUUUCGGGGUCAGCGGCGGACGGGUGAGUAACGCGUGGGAAUAUGCCCUUCUCUAAGGAAUAGUCCUGGGAAACUGGGGUUAAUACCGUAUACGCUCUUUGGGGGUAAGAUUUAUCGGGGCAGGAUUAGCCCGCGUUGGAUUAGGUAGUUGGUGGUGUAAUGGCCUACCAAGCCGACGAUGCAUAGCUGGUUUGAGAGGAUGAUCAGCAACACUGGGGCUGCGACACGGCCCAGACUCCUACGGGAGGCAGCAGUGGGGAAUCUUAGACAAUGGGGGCAACCCUGAUCUAGCCAUGCCGCGUGAGAGAUGAAGGCCGUAGGGUUGUAAAGCUCUUUCAGCUGGGAAGAGAAUGACGGUACCAGCAGAAGAAGCCCCGGCUAACUCCGUG
RNAcentral lists this ribosomal RNA (433 nucleotides) under uncultured bacterium. Its description in RNAcentral is "partial 16S ribosomal RNA". It matches the Rfam family "Bacterial small subunit ribosomal RNA", at positions 29 to 507 of the family's 1533-position model. The record is from RNAcentral.